This 28-nucleotide non-coding RNA is filed under the name Rattus norvegicus (Norway rat). Lineage: Eukaryota; Metazoa; Chordata; Mammalia; Rodentia; Muridae. The record is from RNAcentral.
UCAAAUACCGAGUUCCUUGUGUGGGCAU